CCCACUCUCGAAGGCGUCUGUCCAAUUGAGUUCGCCGCUCUCUUUGCUGUUGGACGGGUGUUUGUCAGUUAGACUCGGUGAAUCCGCGAACUUUUUGCGGUCUGUGAAUGUGACAGAUUUAUCGUGUUUAUAAUAAAAGCUAUAUUUUUGUGCGUACGUGACGAUUGUUGGAUAAAUCGUGGUGUUAACCCGUGUACUGUGAGUGUGUUGUGGUCACAGGUGUCGCAUUCCGGGAAGGACGCUAGCCAGCCUCCGUACCCCGUAUAAAAGCAGGUGGUCCGCUAGAUAUCCUUUUUAUACAAAGAUGGCGGCGCGAUUAUGAGAUCUACAACAAACGACUUUUAGAUGACCACGAAUAGAUGAUCCGAGGAAUGCGAACACAUCGACCAUAUAAUUAUUGCGUGAGUAUUUUACCAUGAUUCUAGUUUAAGCUUCGACAGCGAAGGGAGUUUAAGACGGUCAUGCACCUGGUAACAAGAUUGAAAAU
Manduca sexta (tobacco hornworm) is the source of this 487-nucleotide long non-coding RNA. RefSeq lists it as uncharacterized. NCBI's taxonomy places the organism in Eukaryota, Metazoa, Arthropoda, Insecta, Lepidoptera, Sphingidae. The record is from RefSeq and is a predicted model, not a curated record. The transcript is spliced from 3 exons.